Molecule: ribosomal RNA, 506 nt
Filed under: uncultured bacterium
Lineage: Bacteria
Description: partial 16S ribosomal RNA
Rfam family: Bacterial small subunit ribosomal RNA
Source: RNAcentral
AGUGAACGCUGGCGGUAGGCCUAACACAUGCAAGUCGAACGGCAGCACAGGAGAGCUUGCUCUCUGGGUGGCGAGUGGCGGACGGGUGAGGAAUACAUCGGAAUCUACUCUGUCGUGGGGGAUAACGUAGGGAAACUUACGCUAAUACCGCAUACGACCUACGGGUGAAAGCAGGGGACCUUCGGGCCUUGCGCGAUUGAAUGAGCCGAUGUCGGAUUAGCUAGUUGGCGGGGUAAAGGCCCACCAAGGCGACGAUCCGUAGCUGGUCUGAGAGGAUGAUCAGCCACACUGGAACUGAGACACGGUCCAGACUCCUACGGGAGGCAGCAGUGGGGAAUAUUGGACAAUGGGCGCAAGCCUGAUCCAGCCAUACCGCGUGGGUGAAGAAGGCCUUCGGGUUGUAAAGCCCUUUUGUUGGGAAAGAAAUCCAGCUGGCUAAUACUCGGUUGGGAUGACGGUACCCAAAGAAUAAGCACCGGCUAACUUCGUGCCAGCAGCCGCCGUAA